UACAGAGGUCUCAAGCGUUGUUCGGAAUCACUGGGCGUAAAGGGAGCGUAGGCGGCGCGGUAAGUCAGAUGUGAAAUCCCGGGGCUCAACCCCGGAACUGCAUCCGAUACUGCCGUGCUAGAGGAUUGGAGAGGUAGCUGGAAUUCUUGGUGUAGCAGUGAAAUGCGUGGAGAUCAAGAGGAACACUCGUGCCGAAAGCGAGCUACUGGACAAUACCUGACGCUGAGGCUCGAAGGCCAGGGUAGCGAAAGGG
This 253-nucleotide ribosomal RNA is filed under the name uncultured bacterium. RNAcentral describes it as "partial 16S ribosomal RNA". It matches the Rfam family "Bacterial small subunit ribosomal RNA", at positions 524 to 776 of the family's 1533-position model. The record is from RNAcentral.